GGGACUGAGACACGGCCCAGACUCCUACGGGAGGCAGCAGUGGGGAAUAUUGCACAAUGGGCGAAAGCCUGAUGCAGCAACGCCGCGUGAGGGAUGACGGCCUUCGGGUUGUAAACCUCUUUUAGUAGGGAAGAAGCGAGAGUGACGGUACCUGCAGAAAAAGCACCGGCUAACUACGUGCCAGCAGCCGCGGUAAUACGUAGGGUGCAAGCGUUGUCCGGAAUUAUUGGGCGUAAAGAGCUCGUAGGCGGUUUGUCGCGUCUGCUGUGAAAUCCCGAGGCUCAACCUCGGGUCUGCAGUGGGUACGGGCAGACUAGAGUGUGGUAGGGGAGAUUGGAAUUCCUGGUGUAGCGGUGGAAUGCGCAGAUAUCAGGAGGAACACCGAUGGCGAAGGCAGAUCUCUGGGCCAUUACUGACGCUGAGGAGCGAAAGCAUGGGGAGCGAACAGGAUUAGAUACCCUGGUAGUUCAUGCCGUAAACGUUGGGCGCUAGAUGUGGGGACCAUUCCACGGUUUCCGUGUUGUAGGUAACGCAUUAAGCGCCCCGCCUGGGGAGUACGGCCGCAAGGCUAAAAC
Molecule: ribosomal RNA, 575 nt
Filed under: Pseudoclavibacter sp. B5_1
Lineage: Bacteria; Bacillati; Actinomycetota; Actinomycetes; Micrococcales; Microbacteriaceae
Description: bacterial SSU rRNA
Rfam family: Bacterial small subunit ribosomal RNA
Source: RNAcentral